Long non-coding RNA from Haliotis rufescens (red abalone), 1426 nucleotides. RefSeq lists it as uncharacterized. The record is from RefSeq and is a predicted model, not a curated record. Lineage: Eukaryota; Metazoa; Mollusca; Gastropoda; Lepetellida; Haliotidae. The transcript is spliced from 4 exons.
GGACGCGUGUUUCUUUGCAUGUCGCUACUGUGUUCUUUUAUUCGUGUGGAUCUGGGACACACAUUAUACAGCUUGUUAAUGUAUGUGUACAAAUCUAAAGACAAGAGACACAAAACCAAGAAAUCGAAAAAUGUCCCAUUUUCAGGUACAUUGCAGUCCUGGAGAAUAUCAUUAAGAGGUAAACCUAAUCAGCGGUCCUCUGCACUGUCAGUGGGUGUCUGAACGGGGUGUGUCUUGAGCCACCCACUGUCCCAGUCCCAACAUGUCAGUGUGAUGAAGGAUUUGAAAAGACCUACCAAGAUCUCAACGUGUGUGUCGAUAGGGAUGAAUGCAGUCUAGGUUUUGGGACAAUCUGUGGUCCGGGAAGGUGUGUGAACACACCAGGGCUCUUCAUGUGUGAGUGCACCCCUCCAUUUGUUCCUGCCUACAAUGCAACAUGGUGUGCACCUGCACCUCGACCCCCUCAGAAUAAAAGGAACCCCUAUCAGGUCUUGUUAAGAUACGGCGCUGUGAAUAUACUGGUUAACAAGUAGUCGUCGAACAAAGAGCCAUGAGAUAACUGUUUCAUACAACACAAGUACAAGAUGUCAAAUCAACUACGUGCUCUGAUUACGAACACAGUGCAUACUUUUCUGAGAAGUAUUCAGUUCAACAAACAACAAAUAAACAGAUUUGAAGGACAAAUAAUUUUAUUUACUUGAGGUAUUUAUUCACACCUGUUGUUUGGGGCACGGAAUGUACACUGUGGUGAAUCUUGAACAAUGAUGCAGCUAUUUGGCUAUCGAUAACAUGUACACUGUACGUGUCCGAACAUGCUACUUGUCUUAGACGAACGAGGAAGUUAUCAGUUACCAACAAAACCACAGGAUGAGUUUGGGAAUGUCGUUCCAUGUCGCCGAGAUUCGUUUCUACACAAACCAAUGUUCAGCCAUGUAACUAACGUCCAGUGAGGAUAAAGAAUGCGUAUUCGUGAAAUUAAUAACCACAGUUACUUUAUAUUCAACUAGAUGCCAACCGCUUUUAAACGAUUGUAUUUCGUUCAUUGAAGGGAUUGGGAACAUAAUACGUUUGUGUCAUCCAGAACUUGGUACCUCUACAUUCGCAUUGAAAGCGACAGCGUUAGUACCUUAGCAAGAGUAGAUUUAUUGCAAAGAUCCAAAGAGGAGAUGGGUCAGGUGACAUUGGUUGUGUUUGGUUGUUGUUGUUAUAAGUGGGUUGAUGUACCGAUUGUUAUCGUAUGAACUGUCAAACAAGGAGUUGUCAUCAAUAAAUAAACUUUAUUUUGCAUCAAAUUUGAUAGGUAGAGAUACUCAGCAACAUUAAGUGCGGCUCAAUCUUACAGAAAAUGAAGCGACCCUUGCACGGAUAAGGUUUAAAGUGCACACGACGAGCAUGACGUCACAACGCUUUACAGGCUGGCAUUUGC